GGGGGAACCCUGAUCAGCCAUUCCGCGUGAGUGAAGAAGGCCUUCGGGUUGUAAAGCUCUUUCAGCUGGAACGAAACGGUUCGCUCUAACAUAGCGGGCUAAUGACGGUACCAGCAGAAGAAGCACCGGCUAACUACGUGCCAGCAGCCGCGGUAAUACGUAGGGUGCGAGCGUUAAUCGGAAUUACUGGGCGUAAAGCGUGCGCAGGCGGAUUGUUAAGCAAGACGUGAAAUCCCCGGGCUUAACCUGGGAAUGGCGUUUUGAACUGGCAGUCUAGAGUGCGUCAGAGGGGGGUGGAAUUCCACGUGUAGCAGUGAAAUGCGUAGAGAUGUGGAGGAACACCGAUGGCGAAGGCAGCCCCCUGGGAUGACACUGACGCUCAUGUACGAAAGCGUGGGUAGCAAACAGGAUUAGAUACCCUGGUAGUCCACGCCCUAAACGAUGUCAACUGGUUGUUGGGGGAGUGAAAUCCCUUAGUAACGAAGCUAACGCGUGAAGUUGACCGCCUGGGGAGUACGGUCGCAAGAUUAAAACUCAAAGGAAUUGACGGA
This 551-nucleotide ribosomal RNA is filed under the name uncultured bacterium. RNAcentral describes it as "bacterial SSU rRNA". It matches the Rfam family "Bacterial small subunit ribosomal RNA", at positions 374 to 917 of the family's 1533-position model. The record is from RNAcentral.